Long non-coding RNA from Leptidea sinapis, 2216 nucleotides. RefSeq lists it as uncharacterized. The record is from RefSeq and is a predicted model, not a curated record. The transcript is spliced from 3 exons. NCBI's taxonomy places the organism in Eukaryota, Metazoa, Arthropoda, Insecta, Lepidoptera, Pieridae.
UCUGAUUGCUUUCAUAAAAAGAUCACAUUAAAUAUUCUAUUAUAUUGCUGAACUAGAAGCAACUAUCAUGAACUUUUAUCAUCAUUCCAUCAAAAUAUUCUUGAAUGCUAUGUUUUGUGCGGCCGUUGCUAAUUUUUUUUUCUGCAUAACAUAUAACACUUAAAAGAUGCUUUAUGGAUCAUAUAACAGUCUAUAAAAUGCGUUGUUAAUGUUAUAUUAACUAAAUAAUGACCAACUCUCAUUUGAAGCGAGGUGCUACCAAUCUAUCAUCCAAAGCUGCUUUCUUCUCAUUUUUAUUUCAGUAACGAGUUGAUCAUUUUCAUAUUGAGAAUCGCUUCGGAAACCUUCAAUAUUUGGUUAUUAAUUUACAGAUAUCGACUUUAAGAUUAUACCAAUAGGAAAUAAUAAAACUCUACUAAUGGCUGGCGGGUUCACAUUUUCGUUGAACCGAAAAUCACAACACUACUAUUGCUCGAAGAAACAAUCUGGGGAUUGUAAAGCUAAGGUGCAUGUUAGAAAUGGGAAUAUAGAUCUGCAGAAAUCCUUCUUGCAACAUACACACAAGCCACCGCGGUAUGUUGUGAUGGCGGACGGUAUCUAUCAUAAACUGUGAAGUGAAUCUGUUUAUUGAAUGACGGACUCAACGAACAUAUUUUGUAAUAAGUGUAUAUCACUUAUGGAGAGGCUUAACUCUGACUGACAGAGGACUAACCGGUGUCAAAUUUUAUAAGUUACAUACAUAUAAGAUAAUUUAAAGUAAUGUUACAAAUAAAGUUACAUUUAAAGGCUACACAUCAACGUUUAUAAUUAUAUGUUUUCUUCUUCUCUGUCUCUUCUUCAUCUCUGUCUGUUAGAGGUCGUUCGAGUGCACUCCAGCACGGGGUCGCCCACAGCAGACUUGAUCUGUUCGGUCCAUCGUCGUAUCAUAGGUGACCUUCCAUGCGGUCUAAUGGCACGAUAAGGCGCUCUAUAGACUGGCCGCCUCGUCUCGAUACUUGUCCAACGAAAGCGAGUAUGCCGGAUUGCACCAUGGAAGAUAAAGUUAUCGGCUGAUUCCAUCUGGUUUGAAGAAGAACUUGCUGAUGUACGACGGUUACACUUACUCUCAGAUUAACGAAUGUCAUUGGUACUGUUCUAAGAAGGGCAAGGGAUGCAGAGCGAAGAUAAAGUUGGACAGAGGCUCGAUUCUUCCCGUCGAAAUACGGAAAGUACAUAUUGUACUACAAGCAGUAUACGUUUGUGACGAUGACCAGCAAGAAUCGAUGGUAUUGUUCGAAGAAACCGUCCUGCAAGGCACGAGUGGUGGUCGUGGACAGCGACUUCCUUGAAGUUGGGAGUCAUAAUCAUCCGCCACCCAACUUGUGUGUCAACCAUGAGGGGGCUUUGAUCCGCUGUUGAACUUCAUUAUUUACUAUAUUUAACCGUUAAGGCCGGUGUGCCUUCAUCUUACACCAUUUAUACGUCUAGAUGGGUGAAAACAUCGAAAAAAAUUGAGGUUGACUGUUUACUUCUAUUUUGAGCAAUGCACGCACACUAACACGAAGUGACAUACAAAUCGUGAGUGUAAGACGUAGCUUAUCACGCACUAAAGUAAUAAACCUGACCUGGGGGUUUACGCCCUUUCUCCGAAACGAAACUUCUUAAACGAACGAAAUUUAAACGAAGUUUCGAUAGUGACCCUACUCUAUUUUGUUUUCGGACAGAUCGACGAGGUUCGGAACCAUAGACAAUAUUCGUGAACGAAUGGUGAACGAUUGAAAUGAAUAUUAUUUGUAUCCGACUAAUUUGAAGAGUACUAUUUCGUGCCAACGAUGGGGAAGUCACUAAUGACAACCAAAGGUAUUUGUAUUACAGACCCAAUGUAAACAUGUCAAAUUAGUACUUAAGGUUUUUUGUUUGAAUUCUUUAAAAAGUUUUCUAAAAAGAGUUCUUAAUUAUGUUAAUAUAAUUUUUUAAAUUACAUUCUAAAGGUCUUUUUAACACACCUCACUACUCGUUCUAUCCGAUAGUUUUAAGUAAAUAUCAGUUCUAUACUUGUUUUUUUUCACUAAAAAUAUUGCCUGUUCAUAUAACCAUCCUUUUAAAACUACAUCUUUUCAAAUGCAGCUGCACAUAGGUUGAUGAAGCUAUACCUUUUAAAUUAUAUGUCUCAGUACCUACUCUUAGUUAGCUGUAAGUAAGUUUUUAUGUUACAAUAAAUUAUAAUAAAAAAUAAA